GCCGAAGUGGCGGAAUGGCAUACGCGGCGGUCUCAAAAACCGUUGAGGGCAACCUCAUAAGGGUUCAACUCCCUUCUUCGGCA
This 83-nucleotide transfer RNA is filed under the name Candidatus Omnitrophica bacterium CG11_big_fil_rev_8_21_14_0_20_41_12. RNAcentral's name for it is "tRNA-Leu". It matches the Rfam family "tRNA". Rfam says of the family: Transfer RNA (tRNA) molecules are approximately 80 nucleotides in length. Their secondary structure includes four short double-helical elements and three loops (D, anti-codon, and T loops). The record is from RNAcentral. RNAcentral also lists the same sequence under 1 other name. Lineage: Bacteria; Pseudomonadati; Candidatus Omnitrophota.